Nannospalax galili (Upper Galilee mountains blind mole rat) is the source of this 219-nucleotide long non-coding RNA. RefSeq lists it as uncharacterized. The transcript has 3 exons. Lineage: Eukaryota; Metazoa; Chordata; Mammalia; Rodentia; Spalacidae. The record is from RefSeq and is a predicted model, not a curated record.
CACAAACCAUUGCUAAAAUCUUUUGCAACAGAACGAUGAAAUAUACUAGAUAAUGAUAGAAGAAGGGUCUCUCUGUAUAGCACAAACUAGACUCUUGAUGCUCCUUCCUCCACUGACCAAAUAGCAUGAUUACAGGAGGGAAUACGCUGCAACUGUUUCUGUCAGGUGCACCCUUAUGAUGCAAUGCCCAUGGAAGUCAGAAGAGGGCUUCGGAUCCCG